This 89-nucleotide transfer RNA is filed under the name Devosia aurantiaca. Its description in RNAcentral is "Devosia sp. H239 tRNA-Ser". It matches the Rfam family "tRNA". Rfam says of the family: Transfer RNA (tRNA) molecules are approximately 80 nucleotides in length. Their secondary structure includes four short double-helical elements and three loops (D, anti-codon, and T loops). The record is from RNAcentral. Lineage: Bacteria; Pseudomonadati; Pseudomonadota; Alphaproteobacteria; Hyphomicrobiales; Devosiaceae.
GGGCAGGUGGCAGAGCGGUUGAUUGCUCCGGUCUUGAAAACCGGCGAAGGUGAAAGCCUUCCGGGGUUCGAAUCCCUCCCUGCCCGCCA